RNAcentral lists this ribosomal RNA (292 nucleotides) under uncultured bacterium. RNAcentral describes it as "partial 16S ribosomal RNA". It matches the Rfam family "Bacterial small subunit ribosomal RNA", at positions 505 to 796 of the family's 1533-position model. The record is from RNAcentral.
GUGUCAGCCGCCGCGGUAAUACGAAGGGGGCUAGCGUUGUUCGGAAUUACUGGGCGUAAAGCGCGCGUAGGCGGUGAUCUUUGUCAGAGGUGAAAGCCCGGGGCUCAACUCCGGAAUUGCCUUUGAAACGGGAUCGCUAGAGUCCGAGAGAGGAUGGCGGAAUUCCUAGUGUAGAGGUGAAAUUCGUAGAUAUUAGGAAGAACACCGGUGGCGAAGGCGGCCAUCUGGCUCGGUACUGACGCUCAGGCGCGAAAGCGUGGGGAGCAAACAGGAUUAGAUACCCCAGUAGUCC